AGGCCCAGCCUCAUGUGGGAGGUGAGGAGAAAGGACCCUUCCAGAGGGCCCCCCCUCAAUCCUGUUGUGCCUAAUUCAGAGGGUUGGGUGGAGGCUCUCCUGAAGGGCUCUGAAGAGCGCUGCACCCGCAGCUGUGUGCCAGGAGUGGAGACAGGACAGUCGAUACAAGAGGGGCCCCUGUCAUGUCAGCUGCUGAGUCCCCUGGGGCGGCCGGGCACUGGGGAAUGGUGAACUCGCCGUGCCGCGCCUCUGCCACAGUCUCCCGUGGGUCCCCACUGCCGGGAGUUUUACCUACCUCCCACCCUCAGCCACGAGCACCUGCAGGAUGCGGUGCCAUCCUCGCCGGUGCCCGCUCCCCUUCCGGAGGCUCUCUCCACCCUCACUGACGCCUCCUCGGGAAAGCCCCCGCUCCUUCCCCGACCUCACAGCAUGCCAGGUCUGGGGCUUCCGCUGGGGGGCUUACCUGUUUUCCACCCCUGCUAGACUGGGAGCUCCAGGGCAAGGCCGUAGCUGCCUUGCGGAUUGUUACGUUGUCCAGCUUGUCUCCACACGUGAUACCCAGCAGGUGCCUAAUAAACUUGUGUAGAAAGAGUG
RNAcentral lists this long non-coding RNA (594 nucleotides) under Homo sapiens (human). Its description in RNAcentral is "novel transcript". The stretch from base 32 to 110 matches the Rfam family "mir-296 microRNA precursor family". Lineage: Eukaryota; Metazoa; Chordata; Mammalia; Primates; Hominidae. The record is from RNAcentral.